Molecule: ribosomal RNA, 522 nt
Filed under: uncultured bacterium
Lineage: Bacteria
Description: bacterial SSU rRNA
Rfam family: Bacterial small subunit ribosomal RNA
Source: RNAcentral
UGAGGAAUUUCCGCAAUGGGCGAAAGCCUGACGGAGUAAUACCGCGUGCGGGAGGAAGGUCUAUUGACUGUAAACCGCUUUUAUUAAGAAAGAAUUCUGACGGUACUUAAUGAAUAAGCCUCGGCUAACUCCGUGCCAGCAGCCGCGGUAAUACGGAGGAGGCAAGCGUUAUCCGGAAUUAUUGGGCGUAAAGCGUCCGUAGGUGGUUUUGCCAGUCUGCUGUCAAAGCCCGUGGCUCAACCACGGAAAGGCAGUGGAAACUACAAAACUCGAGUGCAGUAGGGGCAGAGGGAAUUCCCAGUGUAGCGGUGAAAUGCGUAGAGAUUGGGAAGAACACCCGUGGCGAAAGCGCUCUGCUGGACUGCAACUGACACUCAGGGACGAAAGCUAGGGGAGCGAAUGGGAUUAGAUACCCCAGUAGUCCUAGCCGUAAACGAUGGAUACUAGAUGUUGUCUGUAUCGACCCGGACAGUGUCGUAGCUAACGCGUUAAGUAUCCCGCCUGGGGAGUACGCUCGCAAGA